AUUGAACGCUGGCGGCAGGCCUAACACAUGCAAGUCGAGCGGAUGAAGGGAGCUUGCUCCUGGAUUCAGCGGCGGGCGGGUGAGUAAUGCCUAGGAAUCUGCCUGGUAGUGGGGGAUAACGUCCGGAAACGGGCGCUAAUACCGCAUACGUCCUGAGGGAGAAAGUGGGGGAUCUUCGGACCUCACGCUAUCAGAUGAGCCUAGGUCGGAUUAGCUAGUUGGUGGGGUAAAGGCCUACCAAGGCGACGAUCCGUAACUGGUCUGAGAGGAUGAUCAGUCACACUGGAACUGAGACACAGUCCAGACUCCUACGGGAGGCAGCAGUGGGGAAUAUUGGACAAUGGGCGAAAGCCUGAUCCAGCCAUGCCGCGUGUGUGAAGAAGGUCUUCGGAUUGUAAAGCACUUUAAGUUGGGAGGAAGGGCAGUAAGUUAAUACCUUGCUGUUUUGACGUUACCAACAGAAUAAGCACCGGCUAACUUCGUG
RNAcentral lists this ribosomal RNA (484 nucleotides) under uncultured bacterium. RNAcentral's name for it is "partial 16S ribosomal RNA". It matches the Rfam family "Bacterial small subunit ribosomal RNA", at positions 30 to 507 of the family's 1533-position model. The record is from RNAcentral.